RNAcentral lists this ribosomal RNA (460 nucleotides) under uncultured bacterium. RNAcentral's name for it is "partial 16S ribosomal RNA". It matches the Rfam family "Bacterial small subunit ribosomal RNA", at positions 338 to 795 of the family's 1533-position model. The record is from RNAcentral.
CCUACGGGAGGCAGCAGUGAGGAAUAUUGGUCAAUGGACGAGAGUCUGAACCAGCCAAGUAGCGUGAAGGAUGACUGCCCUAUGGGUUGUAAACUUCUUUUAUAUGGGAAUAAAACGUUCCACGUGUGGGAUUUUGUAUGUACCAUAUGAAUAAGGAUCGGCUAACUCCGUGCCAGCAGCCGCGGUAAUACGGAGGAUCCGAGCGUUAUCCGGAUUUAUUGGGUUUAAAGGGAGCGUAGGUGGAUUGUUAAGUCAGUUGUGAAAGUUUGCGGCUCAACCGUAAAAUUGCAGUUGAAACUGGCAGUCUUGAGUACAGUAGAGGUGGGCGGAAUUCGUGGUGUAGCGGUGAAAUGCUUAGAUAUCACGAAGAACUCCGAUUGCGAAGGUAGUUCACUGGACUGCAACUGACACUGAGGCUCGAAAGUGUGGGUAUCAAACAGGAUUAGAUACCCCGGUAGUC